AAGGAAACGUAGUUAUUUCAAUUUUGUGUAAAAAGAAAAAGUGAUGAGUAUUGGCCUUCCUUUUGUAUUACUGUUCUUAAAAUUUGCCUGCCUUGAAUUAAAAACCUUCUGUAAAUGAAAAGAUUGCUCAGUCUUUUCCUGAAGUACUUGUCAUUGUAGUUAUGAGAUUUUGGCUGGCAAGUAUACAUCCUACUGUGCCUUAAAGUUCUAGGUGCUCUGUAAAGAUGAGUGCAGUAGUAUUUUAUUUCUGAAACAUAUUUAUGAAGAUAAAAUUGGAAUAUGCAGUGAUUCCAAAAAAUAAAGUUUUUGGAUAUAAAACUUGCCAAAUCAUUUCUUGUUGACCAAAAUGAUAUUUAGCUAGUUCUUUGAGAAUUUGCUAUGCACUUACUAAGUGCUUGAAGGCCUGUCAGAUUAAAGGGAAGAGACAAAGGCAAUCAGUUAUUAUUUCUUACUCUUUUGUAAGGAUUGUUGAUAUUAACAGAUCUCAAUUUUGCGGUCUUACAAGAAAGACACAGCGGACAUUUUACCAAUUCAGCUGAGCCAUUUGCUAUCAUCUUUGUUUGCAUAUUGCUGGUUUAGUCAGCCUUUGAGUAAGCAAAAGCUGUAUUUACUUCUAGUCUGGUCUGUGUGAAAAAUCUAAUGAAGACUUUUCUAUUUUUUUUUUUAACUUUUUUAAGGUGGUGAUCCAUAAGAGAAAAAUCAAGAGGCACACAAAUAAGCGGCAUAAUUAAGAUCUUAUUUAUUAAAGAGAAGUAGAGGAAUUUGGUUUCUUAAAUUUAAGAAGCUGGUACAGUUAAAGUAGUAUAGAUAUUGUUUAUGUAUUUUCUUACGUGAUAGAGACUGAAGUGGAGUUUCAAGGAGAAGGGAGAAGGGGGGGUAAAAAGAAGAGAACCAAGAAAAGACCAGAACAAUUUAUUAAGUAUUUCCCUCUCCACGUUUUUCCUUCCAUAAGAUUGAAUCUGCUCCUGCCUCACUGUUAGGAAUGAAGAAAGGGGAAAAUGCAGGAAGAACCACACACACUACAAAAAUGGAGAGUAUCCAGGUCCUAGAGGAAUGCCAAAACCCCACUGCAGAGGAAGUCUUGCCCUGGUCUCAAAAUUUUGACAAGAUGAUGAAGGCCC
RNAcentral lists this long non-coding RNA (1121 nucleotides) under Homo sapiens (human). Its description in RNAcentral is "HSALNT0200508". The record is from RNAcentral. Lineage: Eukaryota; Metazoa; Chordata; Mammalia; Primates; Hominidae.